AUGAAUCCGAAGAUAUCAGAUUUUGGAAUUGCGAGACUUUUUGGGCAAGACCAGACCCAUGGAAUAACGAACCGUGUUAUCGGCACAUACGGAUAUAUGGCGCCAGAGUACGUGAUGCGUGGGAACUACUCCGUGAAAUCGGAUUCAUUCAGCUUCGGCGUCAUGGUUCUUGAGAUUGUAACGGGGAAGAAGAACAAUGACUACAGUAAUUCUGAGGAAUCUCAAGAUCUUCUGAAUGCGAUAUGGGAGCGUUGGAUGGCAAGAACGGUGUUGGACAUGAUGGAUCCGAGCAUGAACACUAGCUUCUCAGAGAGCGGCGUGCUAAGAUGCAUCCAUAUAGGGCUUCUGUGUGUUCAAGAAAACCCGGCUGAUCGACCGCUUAUGUCGUCUGUGGUCAUGAUGCUCGGAAGUGAUACUGUGUCUCUAUCUGCCCCAUCUAAGCCGGCGUUCUAUGCCAAGAAGGCUAGCAACAACUUGGGAAUCACGCCAACUUAG
RNAcentral lists this ribosomal RNA (495 nucleotides) under Triticum aestivum (bread wheat). Its description in RNAcentral is "partial small subunit ribosomal RNA". Lineage: Eukaryota; Viridiplantae; Streptophyta; Magnoliopsida; Poales; Poaceae. The record is from RNAcentral.